GAGCAUCCUUCCACCCUCAAUAUUCUAUCUAUUAUCCAAAUUGCCUUCUCUUGGAGAUCUCCAGGUCGAACUUCUGUGAAAAGAACAAUCACAGCAUCAACAACCCCUUGUUGUUCAAGCUCCUCAACAGCUCUUUUACAGCUAUUUGAAGUAUCUGGCACAAGAGUUGAAAGUGUUUCAACGGCAGCAAUUUGAACAUUAGUAUCCUUGUCAGUUAGAAGAUCAACCAGGGGUUUGAUACAAUUGCUCUUUAGCAAGCAUAACUGACUACUUUCAUCACAUGGAACACUGUGUAAUGGACAAGUGGAAGGUUUAGGAGGACCACUCCCACACAUGAAGAUCCAAGAAGCACAAAAUCCGCGGCGAGGUGGUGGUUCUGAUUUAUCAGAAACAAGUAACCUGCC
This 404-nucleotide unclassified non-coding RNA is filed under the name Hevea brasiliensis (rubber tree). Lineage: Eukaryota; Viridiplantae; Streptophyta; Magnoliopsida; Malpighiales; Euphorbiaceae. The record is from RNAcentral.